This 1318-nucleotide ribosomal RNA is filed under the name uncultured cyanobacterium. RNAcentral's name for it is "bacterial SSU rRNA". It matches the Rfam family "Bacterial small subunit ribosomal RNA", at positions 28 to 1387 of the family's 1533-position model. The record is from RNAcentral. Lineage: Bacteria; Bacillati; Cyanobacteriota.
GAUGAACGCUGGCGGUAUGCUUAACACAUGCAAGUCGAACGGGAACCCUUUGGGGUUUUAGUGGCGGACGGGUGAGUAACGCGUGAGAACAUGCCUAUUGAUUGGGGACAACAGUUGGAAACGACUGCUAAUACCGAAUGUGCCUACGGGUAAAAGAUUUAUCGUCGAUAGAUUGGCUCGCGUCAGAUUAGCUAGUAGGUGAGGUAACGGCUUACCUAGGCGACGAUCUGUACUUGGUCUGAGAGGAUGACCAGGCACACUGGAACUGAGACACGGUCCAGACUCCUACGGGAGGCAGCAGUGGGGAAUUUUCCGCAAUGGGCGCAAGCCUGACGGAGCAAUACCGCGUGAGGGAGGAAGGCUCUUGGGUUGUAAACCUCUUUUAUCAGGGAAGAAAAGAUGACGGUACCUGAUGAAUCAGCAUCGUGCUAACUCCGUGCCAGCAGCCGCGGUAAUACGGGGGAUGCAAGCGUUAUCCGGAAUUAUUGGGCGUAAAGCGUCCGUAGGUGGUUGCACCAGUCUGUUGUCAAAGCGUGCGGCUCAACCGCAUACGGGCAAUGGAAACUGUGAGACUAGAGUGCGAUAGGGGUCACAGGAAUUCCCAGUGUAGCGGUGAAAUGCGUAGAUAUUGGGAAGAACACCAGCGGCGAAAGCGUGUGACUGGGUCUGCACUGACACUGAGGGACGAAAGCUAGGGGAGCGAAAGGGAUUAGAUACCCCUGUAGUCCUAGCCGUAAACGAUGACAACUAGGUGUGGUUCGUAUCGACCCGAGCCGUGCCGUAGCCAACGCGUUAAGUUGUCCGCCUGGGGAGUACGCACGCAAGUGUGAAACUCAAAGGAAUUGACGGGGGCCCGCACAAGCGGUGGAGUAUGUGGUUUAAUUCGAUGCAACGCGAAGAACCUUACCAAGGCUUGACAUCCUGCGAACUUUUCUGAAAGGAGAAGGUGCCUUCGGGAGCGCAGAGACAGGUGGUGCAUGGCUGUCGUCAGCUCGUGUCGUGAGAUGUUGGGUUAAGUCCCGCAACGAGCGCAACCCACGUUUUUAGUUGCCAGCAUUGAGUUGGGCACUCUAGAGAGACUGCCGGUGACAAACCGGAGGAAGGUGAGGAUGACGUCAAGUCAGCAUGCCCCUUACGCCUUGGGCUACACACGUACUACAAUGCGUUGGACAGAGAGUUGCAAGUCAGCGAUGACAAGCCAAUCUCGUAAACCAACGCUCAGUUCAGAUUGCAGGCUGCAACUCGCCUGCAUGAAGGCGGAAUCGCUAGUAAUCGCAGGUCAGCAUACUGCGGUGAAUACGUUCCCGGGCCUUGUACA